Molecule: ribosomal RNA, 253 nt
Filed under: uncultured bacterium
Lineage: Bacteria
Description: partial 16S ribosomal RNA
Rfam family: Bacterial small subunit ribosomal RNA
Source: RNAcentral
UACGUAGGGGGCAAGCGUUGUCCGGAAUCAUUGGGCGUAAAGCGCGCGUAGGCGGUCCGGUAAGUCCGCUGUGAAAGUCCGGGGCUCAACCCCGGGAGGCGGGCGGAUACUGUCGGGCUAGAGUCCGGAAGAGGCGAGUGGAAUUCCUGGUGUAGCGGUGAAAUGCGCAGAUAUCAGGAGGAACACCAAUGGCGAAGGCAGCUCGCUGGGACGGUACUGACGCUGAGGCGCGAAAGCGUGGGGAGCAAACAGG